UACGUAAGCCCCAAGCAUUACCCGGAAUCACUGGGUGUAAAGGGUUCGUAGGUGGAGAGAUAAGUUGGAUAUGAAAAACCGAAGCUCAACUUCGUGUUUGUAUUCAAAACUGUUUUUCUAGAAUCAGGGAGAGGUAAGCGGAAUUCUAAGUGUAGGGGUGCAAUCCGUAGAUACUUAGAAGAACACCAAAAGCGAAGGCAGCUUACUGGAACUGUAUUGACACUGAGGAACGAAAGCGUGGGUAGCGAAAAGG
This 253-nucleotide ribosomal RNA is filed under the name uncultured bacterium. Its description in RNAcentral is "partial 16S ribosomal RNA". It matches the Rfam family "Bacterial small subunit ribosomal RNA", at positions 524 to 776 of the family's 1533-position model. The record is from RNAcentral.